CCAAAGUGCAAAUUUGGCAGCGCACCAGAGAAGGUGCCGGGGCUUCUCCCCCUU
RNAcentral lists this transfer RNA (54 nucleotides) under Sphaerodactylus nicholsi. RNAcentral's name for it is "tRNA-Cys". The record is from RNAcentral. Lineage: Eukaryota; Metazoa; Chordata; Lepidosauria; Squamata; Sphaerodactylidae.